Molecule: ribosomal RNA, 119 nt
Organism: Scophthalmus maximus (turbot)
Lineage: Eukaryota; Metazoa; Chordata; Actinopteri; Pleuronectiformes; Scophthalmidae
Source: Ensembl
GCUUACGGCCACACCGCCUGGUUCACGCCUGAUCUCGUUUGAUCUCUGAAGUUAAGAUAGGUUGGGCCUGGUUAGUGCUUGGAUGGGAGACCGCCUGGGAAUACCAGGUGCUGUAAGCU